Long non-coding RNA from Zingiber officinale, 1086 nucleotides. RefSeq lists it as uncharacterized. Lineage: Eukaryota; Viridiplantae; Streptophyta; Magnoliopsida; Zingiberales; Zingiberaceae. The record is from RefSeq and is a predicted model, not a curated record. The transcript has 3 exons.
CAAAAUCGUGCCCUAGCCAUCCUCGUGCCCAGCCUUUCCCUUCGUCUCCCAACCCGGCGCCACCCUCCCUCGCGUAGCUUCCCCUUCUCCACAGAUACAAAGCCUCAAGCCGAACCCUUUUCCUUCCAGCGCCUUCUCCCCUCCUCUACACCGAGCUCUUCUCCUUUCCUGAAUCCAAAAAUCACCAAUCAUUCUCACUCGAGUGAUCUCCACGGCCGACACUGGUCGCCAGCCAUCCGAUCCCACCCUAUCUAUCCCCAUCGGAAGCCGAACACCCGCGUCUUUUUGGUCAGGCCCUGGAUUUGGGUCCACAGUCACCGACGCCUCCUUCCUCCCGACCCUUGUGGAUCACCACCUGAGGAAAGAAGAUUCGACCAGGACUAGUUCACCUAUGAAUCUUCUUUCUUUGUUGGAUCUGAGUCACGUGAGCUCUCUUCGCCAGAGCUAACCUAGGGUUUUCGGCGGUCAGAUUUGAGAUCAGAGGUUGAUGCUGUGGCUUGAGACUUCAGUGCCGCUAUUCAUUGGUCCUGGCUACCGGGAUUUGGUACUUGCUGAGAGCCAUCAGUCGACACUUUUUGGGGAUUUUGAUUAGAGACGUGCAUCUCAACGUGGGAUCUAUUUCGGAUUCGAUCUCCAUUUUUGAGGCUGAUACUUUGACUUAUCUUUUUGGAUAUUGUCAUUCUAAUAUGCUUAGUAGGUUAUAACUUGCAGUAAUAGUUAUGUUUGUUUUUGUUUGGUAUGCCACUACUUGAUACCUGUAGCAUGCCUUAUUUGUUGUUUGCUAUACAUCUAUGCUUAUACCCUCUUGAUUAUUGCCAUGUGUAUUAUGUUCAUAGAGGUAGUGACGUACUAUGUCUUAUUGUGUACAGGACUAGUUAUUUGCCAUACUUGUCAGGUGUACCUAGAUCAUUUCAUUGGAUCCAUUUACUUUUUGGUACAUACUUUAUAGAUAUGGACAUGGUAAGGAUUUUCAUGCUUAGUGUCAUGCACCAUCUUGCAUGAUUGCAUGCUGAGCGAUUGUUGGCUCUAUUAUUGUUGAUCACAUCGCCAGUUACAUAGAUCUAUACACACAACCACUCAUGGAUU